Molecule: ribosomal RNA, 5715 nt
Filed under: Triticum aestivum (bread wheat)
Lineage: Eukaryota; Viridiplantae; Streptophyta; Magnoliopsida; Poales; Poaceae
Description: partial small subunit ribosomal RNA
Source: RNAcentral
AUGGGAGGAAUUGUUGAAUGUGGUCUGAGCACUGACACAAAAACUUCCCCUCGCCGUGUGGCCAUAGAGAAAGCUCAGGAGGAGCUGAGGCAGGAAUAUGAUGUCCGUGAAGAACGGAGGAGGGAGCUUGAGUUUUUAGUUAAGGGAGGCAAUCCCUUGGAUUUCAAACUUGGACAUGUAGUGUCGCUGAGUGUACAGUCCACUUCUGUCACAGAUCAGAUAGCCGAACAAAAUGUGAUGAGUGAAGCAAAAGGUAGUUUCACAUUUGCUGCAUCACCUCAUGGAGAUUCGUUUGAUAGUAGUGGCAGACCAGGAAGUUCAUGUCGUGAAGCCAACACAGCUGAUAAUCUUAUGCUUUUAGAUGGAGAUACCAGCAAAAUAGGUGGGGAGAAACUUGUGAAACGCGGCACUAAAAGAAGUGACACACCUCAACCUGAGAUGUCCUUUUGCAAUGAUGGCCAGAAUAACACAAAAGAAGCUGAAGAUUCUGGUCUGUUCCGCCUUGGGGCAAAGAGCCAAGCGUAUGCUCGACGCAGGUCAAAGUCAAGCAGGGAGAAUGUAAAUACUGUGCCUAUUAGGUCUCCACCAGUUCCUCCUUUAAGUUCUCACCGGGAAGAUGCAAAAGCUGUAGUACAAGAAGCCAAAAAUGAUGAUCAUGGCGCCUCAUCCAGUGCGGCUCCAAUACCGAGAAGUUCAAAUGGUAAUGAUAUGUUGAAUAAUGCGCCAAAUAAUCAAAUGGCAGCGAAGAUGGGCAGUGUUCAAGCAAUUCAUGAAGGCAAGCAAGAAGAAAAACAGGAAAUAACGAACAACCAACAUGUUACUCUAGCUCCCGAAAUCUCAUCAAACAGCGUGUUUGAUAAUUCACAGCGUGCUGGAGGUGGCCAGAUGCCUAGUGCAGCUGCUUUUGCCGAAUCUCCGCAUGCUAUUACAAAAGAAGCUUCUUCAAGGACAGCUUCUUUUCCAUCUACACACAACGAAAUCUUUAGAGAAGCACACACUCCUGAAAAGGCAGAUAUCAGCUGCUCUGACAAAAGAAUGGUUUAUGCUCAUGCAGUUGAUAUCGAAAAUGAGGCUUCUGUUCUGCAGCCAGCCAUAGAAACUGCUAGAUCUAAUGAAAAUGAAGUGGAUCUAACUUGUACAGAUGCCACCAAGACUACUGAUGAGUAUUCAGGUAAAAAUGCUAAUUUUGUAUCAGUGAAGGUUGGUGAAAAUUCUGAUGAAGGCUUGAGUAACACAGUACUUGGUGAUAACAACGACAAAAGAGAUGACCAACUGGAAGGCCGUAGCAGCCCCACUGCUGUGGUUGACAGAUGUACUCCUAUACAUCCAGAAGUCUGCACUGCUGUGAAAGAUGAAAUUGAAGUUUGUAACAACGUGGCUGACACGCAAAAGGAUACAGGACGUCCUGCUACUUCUGACCACAACAAAGUGACUAAGGAGGCAGGUUCUGAUUUGGAUAGAAACAACAACUGUUCCAGUGCUUUGAGUGGUUCUGAUAAGUUGGCUUCUGUUGAUGUGCCCCCUGCUUCGCUCACAGAGGAUGUGCCUAAUCCUGUGCUAUCAACUAAAUAUUCUACAUGUAACUUUGACAACGAUGUUACAAAAUGUAGCCGAAAUGCUGCAACAGUUACGAAAAAGGAAUGUGAAGAUCCUAUUAUGAUAAAGAAGGAAUACGAAGAUUCUAUCCUUAGAAGGGCUCGGUUUAUAGAGCUGAACGUUAAGAGAGCUGGUGAACAAGCUCUUUGCAAUAUUUCUUUGGAGAAGAAGCGGAAAAGUCACUGGGAAUUUGUUCUGGAGGAGAUGGCUUGGAUGGCAAAUGAUUUCAUGCAGGAGCGUCUGUGGAGAAGUACAGCUGCAGCCCAGAUGUGCAACUGGAUUGCUUCCAGUGGCCGAGCAGCAUUUGAAGAAGCUAGUGUUCGCAGAAAGCAGAAAUCUGCUGCUAGAAUUCUGGCCAAGGGCAUAAUCAAUUUUUGGCGUUCAGCUGAGACUUUACGAGCUACUAGUGGUGAGAUUCCUAAAGCGUCACAAAUAGAGAAAUCAAAGGGGAUUGAAGAAAUGAAGCCUGCUGGAACCAAAGCAGAAAAAGAACUGGGUGACGAAUCCUUUGAACAAGAGAAGCCUAGGUGGUUUCACCACUCUUAUAUUCAGAGUUACGCUCUUCGGUUUCUUGAGUUCAACUGUAAUGUGUCUGAGUGUCUUUCAUUAGCUGAAGCACCAUCAACUCCAGACAGGCUAAAUGAUUUUGGCAUUUUAAAAGUGCCAGAUGAACUUUCAGAAACAAAUCUCUUUUAUGAGGUAGCCCCUGGUGCAAUGCACGCAUACAGAGAGUCUGUGGGGUGUAUAUCUGUUUAUAAUAAGAAAUUUGUUAACACUGAACACAAGGAGGAUUAUGAGCCAUCUACAUGCGAUUAUGUUCCAGAUGUACAUAGGGAAAAUGCAUAUGAAGAUGAUGAAGCCGAGGCAUACACUUAUUUAUUGCCUGAAACAUAUGAUGGUGGUUUGGCAUUGAAAUCGAGUCACAAGAAGAAACAACAGCAGAGGAUGAAUGGCAGAAGGCCGUAUGAUAAUGGUGUUGACCUGCCUUAUGAUCCAUGCUCGGAGAGCAAGCCAGGAAACCAUCCAUUUUUAUCGAAUAGUAAAAGACCUCCGGAUUUCCUUUCCAUUCCUAUUAAACGCAUACGGACAGCUGCUAGACAGCGAGUUGCAAGCCCAUUCUCUGCUGGUGUUGCCGGAACCCCUCAGUUCACAAGUAAAACAGAUGCCUCUAGUGGAGACACAAACUCCUGUCAAGAUGAUCAAAGUUCAUUACAAGGCGGUUUUGUCCCCAGGAAGAAUGCAGAAAUUGAAUCCACUGUUGACUUUGACAGACAAUUAAUAUAUGAUGGCAGUGAGGUGUCUACUAAGUCUAAAAAGAAGAAAAAGCCUAAGCACCCCGGGUACAAGGCACCACAAAGUGUGACCGAGUCCUAUACCUUGAUGUCUGGAAAGAAGGAUUAUUUGAAGAAAAGACAGGAGGCUAAUCAGUUUGAUUCAAAUGGGAAUAUUGUGGUAAAUGGUCAGCAUGCUUCUAAGAAGACUAAACUGUUACAUCAAGCACCAGAUAUUUCAUUAGAGGCUCUUACACCAGUUGGCCCACUGGCAUCUCCGGCAGCAUCACAAAUGAGUAACAUGGUAAAUCCGACGAAGAUUAUAAAGAUCAUCACUAAUCGGGAUCGUGGAAGAAAAAGUAAAGCACUGAAGAUGACUGCUGGCCACUCCGGUCCUGGAAGUCCAUGGUCAAAUUUCGAGGAUCAGGCUCUUGUGGUGCUUGUACAUGAUAUGGGUCAAAACUGGGAAUUAGUGAGCGACGCACUGAAUAGCAUUGUCCAACUGAAGUGUAUAUAUAGAAGGCCUGAUGAGUGUAAGGACCGUCACAAGCUUCUGACGGAUAGAAGUUCUGGUGAUGGCGCUGACAGCGCAGAUGACUCAGGCUCAUCUCAACACUAUCAAUCCACAUUACCUGGCAUUCCGAAGGGCAGCGCCAGACAGCUGUUUCAGCGCCUUCAAGGACCGUUUGAGGAAGAGACUCUUAAGACACAUUUUGAGAAAAUAAUAUUCCUUGGGCAGAAAUUGCAUCCAUGUCGCAGAAAGGGGGAAAUGCAGGAGCUUAAGCCAAUAAAUCCACUUCAUACUUCUCAUGUUCUUGCACUUUCUCAAGUGUGCACAAGCAACUUCUCUGGUGGCGUUUUGACGCCACUUGAUCUUUGUGACACAAUAACUUCAAUUCCGGAUGCACUUCCCGUUGGUUACCCGGGAUCACAUACAAAUGUGUUAACGCUUCCGAACCAUCACGGUGCAAUUAGUCCUGCUCUUCCAACUUCAAAUGUGAACCCAAGGUUAUCAGGUUCUCCUGGUAUGGUACUAGGAAGCAGUUUGCCGUCACCUUCAACAUUGAAUGCCCCGUCUAGGUAUGGUGUGCCUAGACCUACCUCUUUACAGGGCGACGAACAACAAAGAAUUCAGUAUACUCAUAUGGUUAAUGGCAGAAAUCUUCAGCAACCUGGAGUUUCUGUUCCUGGUGUGUUGCCUGCUGGAGUUGAUCGUGGUGUUCGAAUGAUGCCUGGUGCUAAUGGUAUGGGAAUGAUGACUGGACUUGCUCGAUGUGCACCUGUUGCAAGGCCGGGUUUUCCAAGGAUUGGUUCCCCAGGAAUGCGAAAUAUGGUUUCAUCUGGAAACAUGCUAUCCAGCAAUGGUCAAGGCAUGCAAAACUCGGUAAAUCUUCAACCUGGUGCUGUACCUGGCCCUGGAAAUAUGAUGUUGAGGCCACGUGAUCCGAUGCAGAUGCUUCGGCCUGGCCAGAAUUUGGAAGAGCACAGACAAAUGAUGGUGCAGGAGUUUCAGAUGCAAGUUCCACAGGGGAAUAGCCAGGCUAUCCAUUUCAGUGGCACAUCAUUUCCCCAUGCCGGAACACCUUCACCUGUUCAGUCAUUUCCUGUUCAGCAGUCCCAACCACGUCAGAUGCCACAACAGGCGCACAUGUUUGGAAAUACACAGCACUCUCAUAUCCGAGGGGCAAACCAGUCAAGCCCACAGCAUCAGGCUUAUGCACGGUUAGCUAAAGAGAGACACAUUCAACAAUCCAUGAUGUCCCAACAACAGCACCCACUUUCUGCAGCUAGUGCAGUGCCAACUGUGCAGAAUGGUUCACAAACGCAGCCACAAUCUGCUGUCAAUGCUGUCCCAUCUUCACAAUCACAGCAUAAGAAGCAGCACCCGACGCAACAUCCACAAGAUAGCCCGGUUCUUCCCAAUCAGCCUGCCAAUAGUACAUCACAUAAGCAGAAGAAGCAACAGGCUCAGCAGCAGUUAAGACAAAACCAACAGCAACGACAUCAAGGUAGCCAGCAAGCUAAGCUAAUGAAGAGCUUAGGCCGAGGGAAUAUGACGCAGCAGAAUCCUUCAGUUGAUGGUACUCAACUCAGCGGCAUUCCCGCAACCUCAAAAAACCAAAUCUCGGAUACAAAUAUGAUGCAGCAGGCCCCAGCGUAUUUUACUGGUAAUAAGGGAUUGAUUCCAUCAGUGCCUCAGCCUGGGAAUCAACCAAAAAUGUAUGCUUCUCAUACACCUCAGUCACCAAUACAAUCAUCAGAUAUUGGUAAUCAAGGUUCAAUACAGGGUUCUCCCGACCAGACCUUGUUAGCUUCCCAACAAGCUCCAGUUCAUUCAUCAUCGCAAUUGGCUACACAACAGCAGCAACAACAGCGGCACAUGAAUCCAUCACAUAAUAAUAUCCAAAGAUUGAUGAUGCAACCAAACCGCCAUAUGGACAGCGAUGUUAGGAUCGAGUUGCCUGUUGAUCAAGUCAAUCAGUUAAUUUCGUCUACAUCAGUUGCAAGGAGUACAGACUCAGGUAGCCCAGGUGUUUCAUCUAUACAACAUCGGAAACAGGAUUCAUCUCAAGAUCCAACUGCUGUUACCUCGACCUCGCAGCUAGCUAGCACGCCUCAAGAUAGCUUUGUUGGAAAUGAAGCUUUCUUGUCAGCACCUAACCAAGGCAUGCUGCAAAGGCAAAUGUCAGGGGGUGUUCCUAUACAUGGAAAUGUUAUUGGUACCCAGCGGCAGCAACAGCAGGCUCGGCUGCAACUUCAGACUCAGCAGCAGCAGCAGCAGCAGCAGCAGAGACCUGAUGUUCAAGGCAGUUUAUAUGCUCAUCCUUCAAAUUCGGGAGAAGGAUGA